UUUCCAGCACGCCUCUCCCUCGCUACCUUUCUCUGCGCGCGCAUGCACGAAUUCGCUGUUGGUGAUGAUGUCCUCGCCUCUCUCUCUCUGCGGGCAUCCACGUCGCUCGUACCUUUGCAUAUGAGCACACACACUCACACACGCACGCACACAGAUACACACACAGAUACACUCCCCCGCAUGGGUGCGCUUACGUGUUUUUUUUUGUGUGGCGCUUCGAGUGCCUGAGGCAAGAACGGAGGAGGGGGAGGGAUGUCCGCAAAACGACGUGGUAAUGAGGAGUGCGUCAACGUGCUCUCCGCCAUUCUGAUGAUAUGCUUCACCUGCCAUUUAUCUUCUCUUUACAGCCAUUAUGUUCCUGCCGUCUGAGACUUCGAGGAAUCGAGUCAUUUUACCCGUUUGCCCCCCCCUCUUGCUUACCCACCACCACAGGGAUCCCUUGUGCGACGGGAAAGGGGGUAUAUGUAAGUCCAGCUAUUUGCGGGCAGCCUCCCCCGAUGCUGCCUUGACAACAACAGAGUUCUUAUGGAUGGCAUUGGCAUCGCUAGAGGUAUCGAGAGCGCGAGCGGAGGGAUACGGGAUUGGUAUGCCCUUCCACGGAAACAGGGCCGAUGCCCGUUAGGCCGAGUGGGGAGCAUGUGCUGCCGUGUAUCAAGCUUCUGUUUUGACAUCACUCUCUCUCUCGCCCCUUUUGUUCCGCGUUUUCGCCUUCCCUUCAUCGCUCCCUCGAGGCUCAACGUGCUCAGCCCCCACCGAGGGCGACACGAUAUUUGAAACCGCGAAGGCGCAGAAGUCAUGCCACACACGGGCGCGCGCGCUCUUCCAAGCGAGCCGAGCUCUGCAACACCAUUAAGCACGGGUGGCGAAAGCAUGAAUAAGCCGGCAAAGAGAAGUACAUGUGGGCCAUCACGCCGAGAGCAGCCAACACUAAAGCGGCG
This 938-nucleotide unclassified non-coding RNA is filed under the name Leishmania donovani. RNAcentral's name for it is "gene:unknown". Lineage: Eukaryota; Euglenozoa; Kinetoplastea; Trypanosomatida; Trypanosomatidae. The record is from RNAcentral.